This 482-nucleotide ribosomal RNA is filed under the name uncultured bacterium. Its description in RNAcentral is "partial 16S ribosomal RNA". It matches the Rfam family "Bacterial small subunit ribosomal RNA", at positions 29 to 507 of the family's 1533-position model. The record is from RNAcentral.
AUUGAACGCUGGCGGCAUGCCUUACACAUGCAAGUCGAACGGUAACAGGUCUUCGGCUGCUGACGAGUGGCGAACGGGUGAGUAAUACAUCGGAACGUGCCCAGACGUGGGGGAUAACGAGGCGAAAGCUUUGCUAAUACCGCAUACGAUCUAAGGAUGAAAGCAGGGGACCGCAAGGCCUUGCGCGUUUGGAGCGGCCGAUGGCAGAUUAGGUGGUUGGUGGGAUAAAAGCUUACCAAGCCGACGAUCUGUAGCUGGUCUGAGAGGACGACCAGCCACACGGGAGGUGAGAAAGCGCCCAGACUCCGAGGGGGGGAAGCAGGGGAGAAUUUUGGACAAUGGGCGAAGGCCUGACCCAGCAAUGCGGGGUGCAGGGGGAGGGCCUUGGGGUUGAAAACUUUUUUUGUAGGGAAGAAAAAGGUUCUGGCAAAUACGGGGGGAAAAGGACGGAACCGUAAGAAUAAGCACCGGCUAACUACGUG